This 958-nucleotide ribosomal RNA is filed under the name Loigolactobacillus coryniformis. RNAcentral describes it as "bacterial SSU rRNA". It matches the Rfam family "Bacterial small subunit ribosomal RNA", at positions 382 to 1333 of the family's 1533-position model. Lineage: Bacteria; Bacillati; Bacillota; Bacilli; Lactobacillales; Lactobacillaceae. The record is from RNAcentral.
UCUGAUGGAGCAACGCCGCGUGAGUGAAGAAGGUUUUAGGAUCGUAAAACUCUGUUGUUGGAGAAGAACAGGGACUAGAGUAACUGUUAGUCCUUUGACGGUAUCCAACCAGAAAGCCACGGCUAACUACGUGCCAGCAGCCGCGGUAAUACGUAGGUGGCAAGCGUUGUCCGGAUUUAUUGGGCGUAAAGCGAGCGCAGGCGGUUUUUUAAGUCUGAUGUGAAAGCCUUCGGCUUAACCGAAGAAGUGCAUUAGAAACUGGGAAACUUGAGUGCAGAAGAGGACAGUGGAACUCCAUGUGUAGCGGUGAAAUGCGUAGAUAUAUGGAAGAACACCAGUGGCGAAGGCGGCUGUCUGGUCUGUAACUGACGCUGAGGCUCGAAAGUAUGGGGAGCGAACAGGAUUAGAUACCCUGGUAGUCCAUACCGUAAACGAUGAAUGCUAAGUGUUGGAGGGUUUCCGCCCUUCAGUGCUGCAGCUAACGCAUUAAGCAUUCCGCCUGGGGAGUACGACCGCAAGGUUGAAACUCAAAGGAAUUGACGGGGGCCCGCACAAGCGGUGGAGCAUGUGGUUUAAUUCGAAGCAACGCGAAGAACCUUACCAGGUCUUGACAUCCUUUGACCACUGUAGAGAUACAGCUUUCCCUUCGGGGACAAAGUGACAGGUGGUGCAUGGUUGUCGUCAGCUCGUGUCGUGAGAUGUUGGGUUAAGUCCCGCAACGAGCGCAACCCUUAUGACUAGUUGCCAGCAUUUAGUUGGGCACUCUAGUAAGACUGCCGGUGACAAACCGGAGGAAGGUGGGGAUGACGUCAAAUCAGCAUGCCCCUUAUGACCUGGGCUACACACGUGCUACAAUGGUCGGUACAACGAGUUGCGAACCCGCGAGGGUAAGCUAAUCUCUUAAAGCCGAUCUCAGUUCGGAUUGUAGGCUGCAACUCGCCUACAUGAAGCCGGAAUC